GUAAAAUUGUCUGGCGUUAGAAAAGUAAAAAAAUAGAUGGGGCGCAUUGCGGUUCAAUGGGUUAACACAUAAAAGAACACACAGAGAAGAAAACCCAUAUGAAUGUGUUGUUUACAUGUGCAGGAAAUGUUCACAUGUGAUCAAUUCAAAAAGACUAAAAUAAUACACACUGGAUAAAAAAGUUUAUGAAUUUGUUAUUCCAUGGUCAAAUGUUUAGUACACUACUGAACAUAAGGAACAAUACUGGGAACAAUAUUUGCCAAUAGUCCUGGUAAAAAUAUUUAUUAGACCUGACAAUUUAAUUGAGAACACUAUUUGCAAUCAAAUAAUAAUACAUUUUUAAUUAGAUCAACCCUCACUUGCACUUGGCAAUUACUGACAGGGUUAAUAUUACAGUCAUAGUCAAUCUUAAUACACAACAUAUAGUUCAGUAUAGUAGGCAGGAAUAAGCCAAAGUCAGUGACACAUUAUUUCACAAUAUUCUGCCAUUAGUAAAUAAACUUUGCCUUGCAAGACCUAGAAGAAAAUGGUAAAGGUUUAGAGAUUAAAAAUCUUGC
Molecule: non-coding RNA, 557 nt
Organism: Paramuricea clavata
Lineage: Eukaryota; Metazoa; Cnidaria; Anthozoa; Malacalcyonacea; Plexauridae
Source: the annotation of a GenBank genome assembly